UUUCUCUUUGGAGACCACAGCUGUGUGGAUACUUUACUUUUGUCAUGUUGUGUGGCUUGCUGACCUUCAGCAGAGCUAAGGUUUGACUAAGCAAAGAAUUCUUCACACUGUCAUAAGUCCUUGAAGCUGAAGACUGUGUUUUGAGAUUCUUUCGGAUACGUGCACCCUGCCUAGUACACAGUCCAUGUGAUGUGUGGUGAAGAUGCGUGUCACAGUUGGUAAUCCUGGUAGAUUAGGGGGUGUUGCAGAGAGCCUGUGGUCCUCUGUGACUUAAGUGUUAAUCUUGGCGUUGUGGGACUCUUAAGCCUUAUGAGGCUACUCCAAGUGUUGAGAUCUCCGGUUGAGACUGAUGUUCAGUGAGAAGAAGAUGAAAAGAUGCCUAUGGCGAGGACAUUGAAACUCUGAUUGUGUGUGUUGAAGGGAGAGGAGACAGAGUUUGGAAAGAAGAAGAAACUUCUCCUUCAGCUGCUUCUGCGAGUCCAGCAUCAUAAUUGCAUGAAACGAUUUCAUCACUGUCAGCAAGAGCUGGAACCAGUUUCAUCAGGUGCUACUGAAAUGAUCAUUAACUAUGGCCAGUGAAGGAUUCCAGCUGACUCCGGGGUGAAGGAUGGAGCUCAAGAAACAAAGUUUCUGGAAUUGUGGGGAAAACAACCCAGAAGCAGAAGAGAAAUAGUUGAGAAUAUCUAACUCUGUGAAGUUAUGUCCGCAGGCCUUUGGCUACUUCUGACAAUACAGAUCCAAUUGUGUUUCUAAGUUUGGAAUUCAAACUAAAUAAGUUAGGUCUCAAGAGCCCUUUUACAUGGUUGGACUAUUGCUGAAUUUUUAAACGUUUGAUUCGUCUUGGUUGGAGUAUUCCAUUAAAUAUGUUUUUC
Molecule: long non-coding RNA, 872 nt
Filed under: Equus caballus (horse)
Lineage: Eukaryota; Metazoa; Chordata; Mammalia; Perissodactyla; Equidae
Description: lncRNA (ENSECAG00000042939.2)
Source: RNAcentral